Sipha flava (yellow sugarcane aphid) is the source of this 1690-nucleotide long non-coding RNA. RefSeq lists it as uncharacterized. The transcript is spliced from 4 exons. NCBI's taxonomy places the organism in Eukaryota, Metazoa, Arthropoda, Insecta, Hemiptera, Aphididae. The record is from RefSeq and is a predicted model, not a curated record.
AUCAAACAAAUCCGUACAUACCCAUGCUAAAAAAACGAAAAUCAUACUUCAAAAGGAUGCAAUUUUAUCAACUGGGUUAUUGAUAAAAUUCUAAUCGAACUACACAAACCUGGUUAUCAAUACUGCGGACCAGGUACAAAUUUGAAAUAAAGAUUAGACCGCGGUGAUCCGGGUCAUUUUAAAGAAAUUGAAUAAAUACUGCAAAGAUCAUGACGAUGCGUAUGAUCGGAGUAAAAAGUUGGAAGACCGUAGAAGAGCCGAUUAUAUUUUAGAACGUAGAGCGUGGGAACGGUAGAUAGCAAAUGAUUCGUCCACCAACGAAAAAAAUGGUUGUUUGGUGUAUGUUCAAUGUUAUGAAAUUCAAACGGAAAUUCGAAAACGUCUGAGUUUUUAAGACAGGAAUUAAGGAGGUUAAAAACAAAUUUAAGAAAAAUAAAGCUGAUAAAAAGAUACUAAGAAAAAAAUAGAAGCCAAGAAGGUAGAUAGUAGGUCCUUACAAGUUAUAUUGUAAAGAAGACCACAUAUUACAUAAUCAAUAUUAGAACAACUAUUAUAGAUGGGUAUUAGAAAGAUAUGUGUAAAAUACGGAGUUCGCGGGGCCAACGGGUUACGUAAUAAGUAGUCCAGGAUUGGGCGCACAAAAAACAAGUAACAACAAUCUAAAUGCCAAGACGAAUCGCACAAGACCAGUUGAUUAGCAUUUACCAGGUCCGGGUCAACUAUGAGAAACGGGGUAUAUAAAAUAGUCUAAGAGACUAAUAUUCAGAUGUGUUUUAGUCCGACUUGGUAACUGUAAGGUAUUACAGUCCAACGUAGUAAGCACUUUCACGCAAGUCUAUUCGUCAAAUUAAAUAAUACAAUACACAACACAAUUUGGCGCAGUCAGUAGGAUUUUUCUAAAGGAGGCAGUCAAUUCAUUGUUGACUAUCGUCGAAGAAGAAAAAGUACACGAAUUUCAACUUCGGCAACUCUGGAAGAAUAACCAGUGUUUGUAAUCAACCAACAGCUCAAUAUGUGACAAGGAACAUCCAAUACCGCUUUAGUAUAAGCAUAUAUUAUAAUUGUAUUAAGUUAAUAUAAGUACAACAUCUAUAUCAUUAAUGUAUGAUUAUCACUACAACACAAAGAAAAAACAUUUUGAAAAUAAUCUCAGACUGAUGUACAUAGAUACAGAUUCUCUUAUAUAUCAUAUUAUAACCGACAACUUUUACGAUGACUUGUUAAACAAGCUAGGUUUAUUAGAGUCCAUGGAUACCUACAAUCUACUCCAUGAACAUCCAUGUUAUACGUCAUCACGUAAGGAAAUAACGAGUUUCUUUUCCGACAAGACAGAUGGACACACUAUGACCGAAUUUAUAACCCUAUGAACAAAAUCGUACGCAUAUAAUUUGAAUAACAAAGAAUAAAAUCAAAGCAAAAAGCAUUCGAGGUCAUGUGGUGAAAAAAUCAUAUGACAUUCAAAGAUCAUGUAGAUUUUUACCAUGUAAAUUUUUACCAACGAUAAGGAAGAAGUCAAAUUUGAUCCUUAUAAAGAAAAUGUCUCUAUCAGAUCAUGCUACCAUGAGUUACAAACGAUAAAAUCCAAUAAAUUAUGUUUCAACAGACAAGAUGACAAGCGUAUAAUACAACUCGAUAGAAUUACAUACGUUCACAAACACUAUCGUAUACAGCUGGCUGAAACCGAAGUUAA